UAAAGAUUCAUCGCUGAUAGAUAGGCAUGCGUUCCAUUAGGCAGUUGGCGGGGUAACGGCCCACCAAACCGACGAUGGAUAGGGGUUCUGAGAGGAAGGUCCCCCACAUUGGUACUGAGACACGGACCAAACUCCUACGGGAGGCAGCAGUGAGGAAUAUUGGUCAAUGGGCGUAAGCCUGAACCAGCCAAGUCGCGUGAGGGAUGAAGGUUCUAUGGAUCGUAAACCUCUUUUAUAAGGGAAUAAAGUGCGGGGCGUGUCCCGUUUUGUAUGUACCUUAUGAAUAAGGAUCGGCUAACUCCGUGCCAGCAGCCGCGGUAAUACGGAGGAUCCGAGCGUUAUCCGGAUUUAUUGGGUUUAAAGGGUGCGUAGGCGGCCUUUUAAGUCAGCGGUGAAAGUCUGUGGCUCAACCAUAGAAUUGCCGUUGAAACUGGGAGGCUUGAGUAUGUUUGAGGCAGGCGGAAUGCGUGGUGUAGCGGUGAAAUGCUUAGAUAUCACGCAGAACCCCGAUUGCGAAGGCAGCCUGCCAAGCCAUGACUGACGCUGAUGCACGAAAGCGUGGGGAUCAAACAGGAUUAGAUACCCUGGUAGUCCACGCAGUAAACGAUGAUCACUAGCUGUUUGCGAUACACAGUAA
This 637-nucleotide ribosomal RNA is filed under the name uncultured bacterium. Its description in RNAcentral is "bacterial SSU rRNA". It matches the Rfam family "Bacterial small subunit ribosomal RNA", at positions 202 to 842 of the family's 1533-position model. The record is from RNAcentral.